Molecule: long non-coding RNA, 759 nt
Organism: Suricata suricatta (meerkat)
Lineage: Eukaryota; Metazoa; Chordata; Mammalia; Carnivora; Herpestidae
Exons: 4
Source: RefSeq, a predicted model, not a curated record
GUUUGACCGGUUUUUGGUUUUGUUUUUAUCAAUUCUUUAGGAUUUCCUACAUAGACAGAUACGUUAUUGGCAAACAAAGACAGUUUAAUUUUGUAGUGGGAGGUCUGAGAGGUGCAAUCUCAAGGCCACCUCACCAAGAUUUCAAAGAAGGAGAGUGAAAGGCAGAGGCCCCCCGUGGCAUGAAGGAACUCAGCAGCUCUGAAGAAAGUCAUCCUGUGUGACUAGAGAUUGGGCUAAAUGGUGGGAGGGACAAGAGAUUAGGAGAUUAAUGUGAGGUGGGCCUCAGAGGAUAGCCAGGGUCAGGAUCUAGUGACAGGCCUUGUGGCCAUGGAAAGAUUUUUGGAUUGUACCCUGAAGGCAAAGAAGACCUGCUGAGGAGUUGAAGCAAGAAGCCAUAGGGUGUAGCUUUAGAAGACAAGAAGGCCAAAUAGUGAGCUCCAGAGACCUCCAUGACAGAGAACUAUUAGAGAAGAAGUAUCUGUUGUUUCAAGCCACCCCAGUUUGUGGUACUUUGGGAUGGCAGCCCUGGGAAGUUAAUAUACAGAGCAGGAUGGAAAAGCCUUUAUUUUGCUGCAAAUCCAGACAGGAAUGAUGGCUGGAGGCAGGGCAGCCACUUUGCAAUCAUGAGGAUGAAACCUACACAGGAAGAAUGGUGGAAUAAACAGCCAAAGGUCUGAGGGUCAACAUUUAUAACAGCUCCUGAUAGCCUGUCUCAAAACUUCUCCUUAACUAAGCAAAAUAAAAUCCAUUGGGUUAAGA